CUGACUGCUUGUAUCUCUAUGUCUCUGGGAAUUUUUCACGGCAUAGGUCCAUAGUGCUCAGUUCAUGGAGUUUGCAGAGGUGGAAAACCAUGAUGACUUUUAUACCAGUGAAGGUGGAUAUAUUCACACACAGGACCCAUGAGGGUUUUAUAUAAUAUAUGAUGUGGCUUUAAAGGACCUGAAGGAGCUUGAGCACCAGCUGCUCCUUGUGACCAGCCAAUAUAUUGAGAAAGAUAAAAGCCAUAUAACUUGUGGUCAGUUCAAAGGCAGCAACCUCCUUGGCUGGGCACAUUCCUCUGUGGAUCAAUUUGCAGUGCUGCUUGACCUCUGGACCUGUGAAACUGCUCUCUUGGAGAAAAAAUCUCAGAUAGAUGUCCAGAGGGAAUAUGUCCACAAGGUUUGGCGGGAAGGUCAGAGAGGUGGGAUCAGUGAAUUUGGAAUUCCUUAUAAUGUGAUUGCUAAACAACUUAUCUCUCUUAAUAAUAGCUGGUUAUAUAAGGCUUUUGCAAGGGAAAUGGGUUUUGGUGAGUUCCAUUUGUAUCUGAGGCCAGUGCACUUCAAAUUUGCAUCUUACAAGGAGAAAGCAGACCACAUCCCACCAAUAUUCAUUACAUCUCUCCUGGAAGAUGACAGCUGUGUUGACAGGUAGAAAGAACUAUUUUGUAUUUCACAGGACAUAAUCUCUUUAGAUUGGACAUGACCAGGUCUUCAGUCUGCCUGAGUUCAAAUAUAGGCCACAAAAACUUCAAUGCAUAAAACCUUUGAUUUUUGUUUUUCAACUCGGUGACUACAAAUAGACCCUAUCUCUGUGCAAGGAAAAGGCUAUUUAUUAUCUUCUCUUUUUUCCUGGGGAAGAUGUCUGAAAUGUGUAGAUUUUACAUUUGCUUUGGUUUAC
This 895-nucleotide long non-coding RNA is filed under the name Apteryx owenii (little spotted kiwi). RNAcentral describes it as "lncRNA (ENSAOWG00000018443.1)". Lineage: Eukaryota; Metazoa; Chordata; Aves; Apterygiformes; Apterygidae. The record is from RNAcentral.